Molecule: ribosomal RNA, 370 nt
Filed under: Notiocoelotes sparus
Lineage: Eukaryota; Metazoa; Arthropoda; Arachnida; Araneae; Agelenidae
Description: partial 16S ribosomal RNA
Source: RNAcentral
CUCAAUGAAAUUUCAAUAGCCGCAAUUCGUGCUAAGGUAGCAUAAUCAUUUGUCUUUUAAUUAAAGACUAGAACGAAAGAUUUAACACUUCUAUUUCUUUCUUAUUCAUAUUUUUUUAAUUUAUUCUAAAUAUAAAAAAAUAUUUAUAAAAUAAAAAGACGACAAGACCCUAUUGAACUUUACUUCAGUUAAACUGGGGCAGUUAAUCAAAUAUUAUUUUAAUUCAAUAAAAAUUCUAAUCAAAUUAAUUAUAUCAAGUUACCAUAGGGAUAACAGCGUAAUAAUUUUCUAUAGAUCUUAUUAAAAAAAUAACUUGCGACCUCGAUGUUGAAUUAAUAUCCUACUAAAUGCAAUAAUUACUAAGGAAGUC